RNAcentral lists this non-coding RNA (72 nucleotides) under Madagascaria erythrocladioides. Lineage: Eukaryota; Rhodophyta; Compsopogonophyceae; Erythropeltidales; Erythrotrichiaceae. The record is from RNAcentral.
AAAAAAAAAAAAAAAAAAAAAAUACUGAUAUGCGUUUAAUAGUUGCUUUGUUAUCUGUCCUUAUUCUUUUUU